This 449-nucleotide ribosomal RNA is filed under the name uncultured bacterium. Its description in RNAcentral is "partial 16S ribosomal RNA". It matches the Rfam family "Bacterial small subunit ribosomal RNA", at positions 29 to 523 of the family's 1533-position model. The record is from RNAcentral.
AACGAACGCUGGCGGCAUGCCUAAUACAUGCAAGUCGAACGAUCACUUCGGUAGUAGUGGCGCACGGGUGCGUAACGCGUGGGAAUCUGCCCUUGGGUUCGGAAUAACGUCGGGAAACUGACGCUAAUACCGGAUGAUGACGUAAGUCCAAAGAUUUAUCGCCCAGGGAUGAGCCCGCGUAGGAUUAGCUAGUUGGUGGGGUAAAGGCCUACCAAGGCGACGAUCCUUAGCUGGUCUGAGAGGAUGAUCAGCCACACUGGGACUGAGACACGGCCCAGACUCCUACGGGAGGCAGCAGUAGGGAAUAUUGGACAAUGGGGGCAACCCUGAUCCAGCAAUGCCGCGUGAGUGAUGAAGGCCUUAGAGUUGUAAAGCUCUUUUACCCGGGAUGAUAAUGACAGUACCGGGAGAAUAAGCCCCGGCUAACUCCGUGCCAGCCGCCGCAGUAA